AUGAACCAUCAGAAGAGAAAAGCAUUUUCAAAUAGACUGACCUUGGGUAGCACCGGGCUUCCAGGAAACUGGCCAGGGCAGAAAAGCGUCCCACGUCCGAGGAUCUUUCUGCUUUACCCUGUUGCUGUAGCGGAGGAUUCGUCCUACCUUUUUGGAAAAGCCUCUGGAUUUUCGAAAGAAAACUCUAAGCCAGAGAUGUUGCCCCGGAGGGGCAUUUACAUGCCCUCAAGAAGAUCAAGGACACCAAAAAAGUCCUGUAGGCAGAGAGAUCAAGAUAUCCCAAGUCGGUUCUGGGAGGAGGUGAAAGGAGGAGUCAAGACUCUACCUCAUGAUGUGUCUGCUUCUCUUUGAAAUAGAAGGAUGAAGAACAAGAUCACGCACCCAAGGAACAGAAUUUUAGAGUGGAGGGGCUUCUCCCGUGGGGCCACUCUGUGGACUAUUGUCACCAGGCCAGUAUUAGGAAGCAAUACUGGGAUAGCCUUCCUCUCCCUUCUUCUCGUGUCUUUGAAGUAAGCUACGAGUUUAGUUUGAGUUUGUAUUAUGUAACUACAUAACCUUGAAGAGAUGUUUUCAGAUAGAGAUAUUUGGAACAGAGAGUAUGUACACAUAUUUGCUAGAAAAACAUUUAAUAAUAUGUAUACACACAUGCAUACAAUAUGUACACAAAUACCUAUUGCUAUAUAUUUUGUAUAUAUGUUAUAUGUACAUAUAUAAUCUAUAGGAAUACAUUUAGUUUAACAUUCUUACUCAUUUGUUUCUUUCCAGAUCUGCAAACCCAGGUAAAGCCACUACCACAAUGCACCUGCUGGGUGGGAUGGACUGACUACAAGGCAGACCAGAAUAGCCAGUUUUGCCCCACCCUCCCUUAACUAACUGGAGGGCCCAAAGAAUCCAGGCAGAGGCAGAGGCAGGGGCCAGGCAUAACUCUUUGGCUCUUUAUCCAUCAAAGGGCUAAAAAGUCCAAAGCAGAGGCUGAGAAAGGGUAAAUAAAGGUUAACACCUUGAAAGUGAGGAGGAAAGG
This 1021-nucleotide long non-coding RNA is filed under the name Monodelphis domestica (gray short-tailed opossum). Its description in RNAcentral is "lncRNA (ENSMODG00000044382.1)". The record is from RNAcentral. Lineage: Eukaryota; Metazoa; Chordata; Mammalia; Didelphimorphia; Didelphidae.